GGCCCUGUGGUGAAUUUACACAUUAAAUUCAGAGAAGCAGCUUCAAUUCUGCCGGGGCUU
RNAcentral lists this transfer RNA (60 nucleotides) under Bubalus bubalis (water buffalo). Its description in RNAcentral is "tRNA-Cys". Lineage: Eukaryota; Metazoa; Chordata; Mammalia; Artiodactyla; Bovidae. The record is from RNAcentral.